This 761-nucleotide ribosomal RNA is filed under the name uncultured bacterium. Its description in RNAcentral is "bacterial SSU rRNA". It matches the Rfam family "Bacterial small subunit ribosomal RNA", at positions 28 to 775 of the family's 1533-position model. The record is from RNAcentral.
AUUGAACGCCGGCGGCAGGCUUAACACAUGCAAGUCGGACGGUAACAGGAGGAAAGCUUGCUUUCUUUGCUGACGAGUGGCGGACGGGUGAGUAAUGCUUGGGAAUCUGUUUUAUGGAGGGGGAUAACUACGGGAAACUGUAGCUAAUACCGCGUAAUAUCGAGAGAUUAAAGUGUGGGACCGUAAGGCCACAUGCCAUAGAGUGAGCCCAAGUGGGAUUAGGUAGUUGGUGGGGUAAAGGCCUACCAAGCCGUCGAUCUCUAGCUGGUCUGAGAGGAUGACCAGCCACACUGGGACUGAGACACGGCCCAGACUCCUACGGGAGGCAGCAGUGGGGAAUAUUGCACAAUGGGCGCAAGCCUGAUGCAGCCAUGCCGCGUGAAUGAAGAAGGCCUUCGGGUUGUAAAGUUCUUUCGGUGGUGAGGAAGGUUGUAAUGUUAAUAGCAUUAUAAUUUGACGUUAGCCACAGAAGAAGCACCGGCUAACUCCGUGCCAGCAGCCGCGGUAAUACGGAGGGUGCGAGCGUUAAUCGGAAUAACUGGGCGUAAAGGGCACGCAGGCGGAUACUUAAGUGAGGUGUGAAAGCCCUGGGCUUAACCUAGGAAUUGCAUUUCAUACUGGGUGUCUAGAGUAUUUUAGGGAGGGGUAGAAUUCCACGUGUAGCGGUGAAAUGCGUAGAGAUGUGGAGGAAUACCGAAAGGCGAAGGCAGCCCCUUGGGGGAAUACUGACGCUCAUGUGCGAAAGCGUGGGGAGCAAACAG